AAUCUAUGCUUCAGACAUUUUCGAAUUAAAUUUUUAAAUCAUUCCCCAGCUUCAUAUAAUGUUUCAUCCUCUAACUGCCAAAAAGAUGUGAUGCCAUUUUUAAGCUU
This is a non-coding RNA of Gossypium raimondii (Peruvian cotton), 107 nucleotides long. The record is from Rfam. NCBI's taxonomy places the organism in Eukaryota, Viridiplantae, Streptophyta, Magnoliopsida, Malvales, Malvaceae.